This 809-nucleotide long non-coding RNA is filed under the name Piliocolobus tephrosceles (Ugandan red Colobus). RNAcentral's name for it is "lncRNA (ENSPTEG00000028721.1)". Lineage: Eukaryota; Metazoa; Chordata; Mammalia; Primates; Cercopithecidae. The record is from RNAcentral.
CACUGAUUCUUUUCUGUUUCCUUCUGUGAACACUGUCGUCUGGAAGUAAGCUGCUACUCAGUCAUGCACCUCUGCAAAUCUUGGAAAGAAUCAAGGAUUCCUGAGGCAAGAAAGUUGGAUAAUGAUGAGCACCAGGCAAGACACAGCUGGCCACUGGAGAGAGAGCCCAGUGUAGGCAGAAGGCCAGAAUGUGCCAACAGGCAUAAGCUGAACUGUGGACAUCCUGCCACUGGGAAUUAAAGUAGAAAAAAACACAGAAUGUAAUGGGGCCUCCACUCACAAGAAGAAUUUGGAUCAAAGCAUGGCAGUGAGGGGAAGCAUUGAGCAGGUGAAAGUGAAGCAGAGGCUUUAGUCCUGCAAGAAACAGUCGCCUGACUUUAAAGCGUGCCUGUGUCACUGACAGCAUUUAGCAGUGCACAGUGUGCAGAAACUUGGCUCGUCAGCCCUCCUGAUGCUGACAGAUAGGGCAGCUUCACUGUGGAGCACUACACAAGCUCAUUUGCUGCCUUCAUCAGUCUGUAGGUGCUGACUUUGCUCGUAGAGUCACCACCGCAGCCACAGGGCCUCUUCUCACUUACCCACUUCCUCCCCAUUCACGUUGCUCCUCUCAUCAGAGACACUAAGGCCCACUGGAGCCUGCUUUGCAUCUCUUACAUCAGAGGUUUGGGAUGGCACAUUGCAAAUGAUCUUUGCAAACUCUUCCGUCUGUACUCUUGAAGUCUAAGCAGAGAGGCAACGAAAAAGUGGCCCAGGAGCAAAAUGUCUACGUUUCUAAAAUGAGUCUGAAAUGAAGUUCAUCGGAAAAUGUA